UCCCUGGUGGUCCAGUGGUUAGGAUUUGGCACUCUCACUGCUGUGGCCCGGGUUUGAUUCCCGGUUAGGGAA
Molecule: transfer RNA, 72 nt
Filed under: Chrysemys picta bellii (western painted turtle)
Lineage: Eukaryota; Metazoa; Chordata; Testudines; Emydidae
Description: tRNA-Glu (CTC) (tRNA-Glu-CTC-2-1)
Rfam family: tRNA
About the family: Transfer RNA (tRNA) molecules are approximately 80 nucleotides in length. Their secondary structure includes four short double-helical elements and three loops (D, anti-codon, and T loops).
Source: Rfam by way of RNAcentral